AUUUAUAAUAUUUUAUGAUUGGAUUUAAGAUAUUUAAAUAAUUUUUAAAUUUAAUCACAAUAAUAUCAUUUAUUUAUCGAUUUUUUUUAGUUAAAGUGUGGGUAACGGGUAUGGGUACGGACACUUAAGUAUCCAGAGGGUAAGGGUACGGGUAUUAAAGUUGAUACCCGAGAGGGUAUGGGUAUUUUUUAAAAUCGCGGGUAUGGGGACGGGUACUAUAGAAAGUAGGAGAGAGAAAUGUGUGGGCAUAAAAUGGAAUGUAAUUGAAUAGAAAUACUACCAAGACACUCACUCACUCACACCAUCUUUCACUUACAAAACCCUCUCUCUCUCUCUCUGUAGAGAUGACAGUUAUCUUGUGAAUUUUCUUCUCUCUUCUUCCAAUCGCAUUCAAUCUUAAUUUCCUUGUUCUUAUUCUUCUUCUUCCUUCAGCUCAAUUGAAUUUUGGAAUCGAAUUCGAAAGAAUUUCAUUCCCUGUACGCAAAACGAGGUCGUUUUUUGGAUUUUAGUGUGACGUCCUAAUUCAGGGGUAAUGGUCCCCAAGACAAACACAACAAGACUAUUCAGUUUCAAAACCCUAAAGGAGAAAAUUCUCUGGUUCUCUCUAUCCCCAUCAAGAGAGCAAGGUCUUCAGGGUGUUUUGCUGAGGAAGAUCACCCAACCCAUUGGCUCUAUCAUCAUCAUCUCAGGAUUUCAUUAAUGGCAAUUCCCACAGGCCUUGUACAGAUUUCUCUGAAAGCCUUUUCACUGCUAUGUCUUGUCCUGAUGGAAGCUGGCCCUAAAAGUUAUAACAAAUCCAAUAUAUUAUCAUAGUUGUUGAAAAACUAAGUAGUAAUUUUUCUUGUUUGAAUAAUUGGAUCUGGAUCAACUAACUACAACGACUAAAAGAUGAAUGACAAUAUGAAGAAAAUAGUGAUAUUUUAAAGUGUAGUAUGGUGGAUAUAUCCUAUUUUUUAAAUUGAUGAAAAUAUAUGGAAUGAAUCAACAAUUUACUUUGUAUACA
Molecule: long non-coding RNA, 1003 nt
Organism: Cicer arietinum (chickpea)
Lineage: Eukaryota; Viridiplantae; Streptophyta; Magnoliopsida; Fabales; Fabaceae
Source: RefSeq, a predicted model, not a curated record